Molecule: non-coding RNA, 98 nt
Organism: Acanthosepion pharaonis
Lineage: Eukaryota; Metazoa; Mollusca; Cephalopoda; Sepiida; Sepiidae
Source: the annotation of a GenBank genome assembly
AUGAAACAUCAGUUCUCAUAUGAUCACCAAUGUUAAGCAAUGUUGAGCCUGGUCAGUACCAAGAUAGGUAACUGCUUGGAAAUACCAGGUGCUGUAAG